GGGGAAUAUUGCGCAAUGGGGGGAACCCUGACGCAGCAACGCCGCGUGAAGGAUGAAGGCCUUCGGGUUGUAAACUUCUUUGAUUGGGGAAGAAAUUUGACGGUACCCAAAGAACAAGCCACGGCUAACUACGUGCCAGCAGCCGCGGUAAUACGUAGGUGGCGAGCGUUGUCCGGAAUUACUGGGUGUAAAGGGCGUGUAGGCGGGGAUGCAAGUCAGAUGUGAAAUUCCGGGGCUCAACCCCGGCACUGCAUCUGAAACUGUGUCUCUUGAGUGCUGGAGAGGAAAGUGGAAUUCCUAGUGUAGCGGUGAAAUGCGUAGAGAUUAGGAGGAACACCAGUGGCGAAGGCGACUUUCUGGACAGUAACUGACGCUGAGGCGCGAGAGCGUGGGGAGCAAAC
RNAcentral lists this ribosomal RNA (401 nucleotides) under uncultured bacterium. Its description in RNAcentral is "bacterial SSU rRNA". It matches the Rfam family "Bacterial small subunit ribosomal RNA", at positions 356 to 773 of the family's 1533-position model. The record is from RNAcentral.